GAUUUGUUGCUUAAUGAUUAGCUAGAUCCCCCUUAUGAAUUGUCAAAUACUUAUCAGGUAAGAAGCCAUCAAACAACUUCGUAAUAAAACCUAAUUUCGGGUUUCAAAGUGAGAGGCUUACAGCUUCACUGCACAACCCUAAAACGAGGGUCGGCUACUGGCGUAUUCCAAUUCUGAACCGGCGGAUCUAGCUAAUCAUUAAGCAACAAAUC
This 212-nucleotide unclassified non-coding RNA is filed under the name Hevea brasiliensis (rubber tree). The record is from RNAcentral. Lineage: Eukaryota; Viridiplantae; Streptophyta; Magnoliopsida; Malpighiales; Euphorbiaceae.